UUACGGUCAAAUCACGCUGAAAACACCGGUUCUCGUUCGAUCACCGAAGUUAAGCAUCGUAGAGCCAGGUCAUACUUAGAUGGGGGACCGCUUGGGAACACCUGGUACUGUAAG
Molecule: non-coding RNA, 114 nt
Organism: Acanthosepion pharaonis
Lineage: Eukaryota; Metazoa; Mollusca; Cephalopoda; Sepiida; Sepiidae
Source: the annotation of a GenBank genome assembly